This 253-nucleotide ribosomal RNA is filed under the name uncultured bacterium. Its description in RNAcentral is "partial 16S ribosomal RNA". It matches the Rfam family "Bacterial small subunit ribosomal RNA", at positions 524 to 776 of the family's 1533-position model. The record is from RNAcentral.
UACGAGUGCCCCAAGCGUUAUCCGGAAUCAUUGGGUUUAAAGGGUCCGUAGGCGGUUUUGUAAGUCAGUGGUGAAAGCCCAUCGCUCAACGGUGGAACGGCCAUUGAUACUGCAAGACUUGAAUUAUUGGGAAGCAACUAGAAUAUGUAGUGUAGCGGUGAAAUGCUUAGAUAUUACAUGGAAUACCAAUUGCGAAGGCAGGUUGCUACCAAUACAUUGACGCUGAUGGACGAAAGCGUGGGGAGCGAACAGG